This 75-nucleotide transfer RNA is filed under the name Thiemannella venezuelensis. RNAcentral's name for it is "Planomonospora venezuelensis tRNA-Val". The record is from RNAcentral. Lineage: Bacteria; Bacillati; Actinomycetota; Actinomycetes; Streptosporangiales; Streptosporangiaceae.
CGAGCGGGUGGCCGAGGGCGAUGGCCCCGCCGUUCACGUUGACGAUCUCCGGGUCGAGGCCGGGCCACUCGGCCA